UACCAGCUCUCCGAGUGGUAGGGACGAUUAUUGGGCUUAAAGCGUCCGUAGCCGGCUCAGCAAGUCCUCCGUUAAAUCCAGCGAUUCAAUCGUUGGGCUGCGGGGGAUACUGUUGGGCUUGGGGACGAGAGAGGCCGACGGUAUUCUCGGAGUAGGGGUGAAAUCCUAUAAUUCCGGGAGGACCACCAGUGGCGAAGGCUGUCGGCUAGAACGAGCUCGACGGUGAGGGACGAAAGCUGGGGGAGCGAACCGGAUUAGAUACCCGGGUAGUCCCAGCUGUAAACGAUGCGGGCUAGGUGUUAGGGUGGCUACGUGCCACUCUAGUGCCGCAGCGAAGGCAUUAAGCCCGCCGCCUGGGGAGUACGGCCGCAAGGCUGAAACUUAAAGGAAUUGGCGGGGGAGCACCACAAGGCGUGAAGCGUGCGGUUUAAUUGGAGUCAACACCGGAAACCUUACCGGGGGCGACAGCAGGUUGAAGGCCAGAUUGACGAUCUUGCCAGACAAGCUGAGAGGAGGUGCAUGGCCGUCGCCAGUUCGUGCCGUGAGGUGUCCUGUUAAGUCAGGCAACGAUCGAGACCCACACUCCCUGUUGCUACUGAGGAAAGUUUCCAAGGGGCACUCUGGGAGGACAGCCGUCGACAAGACGGAGGAAGGAGUGGGCCACGGCAGGUCAGUAUGCCCCGAAUCCCCCGGGCCACACGCGUGCUGCAAUGGCCGGUACAGUGGGUGUCAACCUCGAGAGAGGACGGUAAUCCCGAAAACCGGUCGUAGCCUGGAUCGAGGGCUGCAACCCGCCCUCGUGAAACUGGAAUGCCUAGUAACCGCGUGUCACUAACGCGCGGUGAAUACGUCCCUGCUCCU
RNAcentral lists this ribosomal RNA (861 nucleotides) under uncultured archaeon. RNAcentral describes it as "SSU rRNA". It matches the Rfam family "Archaeal small subunit ribosomal RNA", at positions 474 to 1337 of the family's 1478-position model. The record is from RNAcentral.